AUUGAACGCUGGCGGAAUGCUUUACACAUGCAAGUCGAACGGCAGCACGGACUUCGGUCUGGUGGCGAGUGGCGAACGGGUGAGUAAUGUAUCGGAACGUGCCCAGUCGUGGGGGAUAACGUAGUGAAAAUUACGCUAAUACCGCAUACGAUCUAUGGAUGAAAGCGGGGGAUCGCAAGACCUCGCGCGAUUGGAGCGGCCGAUAUCAGCUUAGGGAGUUGGUGGGGUAAAGGCGCACCAAGCCAACGAUCUGUAGCUGGUCUGAGAGGACGACCGGCCACACUGGAACUGAGACACGGUCCAGACUCCUACGGGAGGCAGCAGUGGGGAAUUUUGGACAAUGGGCGAAAGCCUGAUCCAGCCAUUCCGCGUGCAGGAUGAAGGCCCUCGGGUUGUAAACUGCUUUUGUACAGAACGAAAAGGUUUCUACUAAUACUAGGAGCUCAUGACGGUACUGUAAGAAUAAGCACCGGCUAACUACGUGCCAGCCGCCGCCGUAA
Molecule: ribosomal RNA, 500 nt
Filed under: uncultured bacterium
Lineage: Bacteria
Description: partial 16S ribosomal RNA
Rfam family: Bacterial small subunit ribosomal RNA
Source: RNAcentral